GUGGGGAAUCUUAGACAAUGGGCGCAAGCCUGAUCUAGCCAUGCCGCGUGAGCGAUGAAGGCCUUAGGGUUGUAAAGCUCUUUCGUGGGGGAAGAUAAUGACUGUACCCCAAGAAGAAGCCCCGGCUAACUCCGUGCCAGCAGCCGCGGUAAUACGGAGGGGGCUAGCGUUGUUCGGAAUUACUGGGCGUAAAGCGCACGUAGGCGGACUGGAAAGUCAGGGGUGAAAUCCCGGGGCUCAACCCCGGAACUGCCUUUGAAACUCCCAGUCUUGAGUUCGAGAGAGGUGAGUGGAAUUCCGAGUGUAGAGGUGAAAUUCGUAGAUAUUCGGAAGAACACCAGUGGCGAAGGCGACUGACUGGACAAGUAUUGACGCUGAGGUGCGAAAGCGUGGGGAGCAAACAGGAUUAGAUACCCCGGUAGUCC
Molecule: ribosomal RNA, 425 nt
Filed under: uncultured bacterium
Lineage: Bacteria
Description: bacterial SSU rRNA
Rfam family: Bacterial small subunit ribosomal RNA
Source: RNAcentral